AUUGAACGCUGGCGGCAUGCCUUACACAUGCAAGUCGAACGGUAACAGGGAGCUUGCUCCGCUGACGAGUGGCGAACGGGUGAGUAAUGUAUCGGAACGUACCAUUCAGUGGGGGAUAACGUAGCGAAAGUUACGCUAAUACCGCAUAUUCUGUGAGCAGGAAAGCAGGGGAUCGCAAGACCUUGCGCUGAUUGAGCGGCCGAUAUCAGAUUAGCUAGUUGGUGAGGUAAAGGCUCACCAAGGCGACGGAUCUGUAGCGGGUCUGAGAGGAUGAUCCGCCACACUGGAACUGAGACACGGUCCAGACUCCUACGGGAGGCAGCAGUGGGGAAUUUUGGACAAUGGGCGCAAGCCUGAUCCAGCAAUGCCGCGUGCAGGAUGAAGGCCUCGGGUUGUAAACUGCUUUUGUACGGUAGCGAAAAGGCUCUCUCUAAUACGGGGAGUUCAUGACGGUACCGUAAGAAUAAGCACCGGCUAACU
RNAcentral lists this ribosomal RNA (480 nucleotides) under uncultured bacterium. Its description in RNAcentral is "bacterial SSU rRNA". It matches the Rfam family "Bacterial small subunit ribosomal RNA", at positions 30 to 502 of the family's 1533-position model. The record is from RNAcentral.